RNAcentral lists this unclassified non-coding RNA (279 nucleotides) under Pseudolachnella sp. Its description in RNAcentral is "partial contains 5.8S ribosomal RNA, internal transcribed spacer 2, and large subunit ribosomal RNA". The stretch from base 1 to 71 matches the Rfam family "5.8S ribosomal RNA", at positions 84 to 154 of the family's 154-position model. Lineage: Eukaryota; Fungi; Ascomycota; Sordariomycetes; Chaetosphaeriales; Chaetosphaeriaceae. The record is from RNAcentral.
GUGAGUCAUCGAAUCUUUGAACGCACAUUGCGCCCGCCAGCACUCUGGCGGGCAUGCCUGUUCGAGCGUCAUUCAAACCCUCAGGCCCUGCCUGGCGUUGGGGCCCUGCGCGCGCAGGCCCUCAAAGACAGCGGCGGGUGCGCCCGGGACCGAACGUAGUCAUUCUUCUCGUUCUGGGACCGCGGCGCGCUCCGGCCGUUAAACCCCCAACUUACAGUUCGUUGACCUCGGAUCAGGUAGGAAUACCCGCUGAACUUAAGCAUAUCAAUAAGCGGAGGA